This 253-nucleotide ribosomal RNA is filed under the name uncultured prokaryote. RNAcentral's name for it is "partial 16S ribosomal RNA". It matches the Rfam family "Bacterial small subunit ribosomal RNA", at positions 525 to 777 of the family's 1533-position model. The record is from RNAcentral.
ACAGAGACUGCAAGCGUUAUUCGGAUUCACUGGGCGUAAAGGGCGCGUAGGCGGCGUGGUAAGUCAGCUGUGAAAUCUCCGUGCUUAACUCGGAACGGUCAGCUGAUACUGCUGUGCUAGAGUACAGAAAGGGCAAUCGGAAUUCUUGGUGUAGCGGUGAAAUGCGUAGAUAUCAAGAGGAACACCUGAGGCGAAGGCGGGUUGCUAGGCUGAUACUGACGCUGAGGCGCGAAAGCUAGGGUAGCAAACGGGA